Molecule: long non-coding RNA, 1116 nt
Organism: Oncorhynchus keta (chum salmon)
Lineage: Eukaryota; Metazoa; Chordata; Actinopteri; Salmoniformes; Salmonidae
Exons: 3
Source: RefSeq, a predicted model, not a curated record
ACUGAAUGGUGACAGCUGUAGGAUUCAGUAUGUUAUGGGAACUGAAUGGUGACAGCUGUAGGAUUCAGUAUGUUAUGGGAACUGAAUGGUGACAGCUGUAGGAUUCAGUAUGUUAUGGGAACUGAAUGGUGACAGCUGUAGGAUUCAUUAUGUUAUGGAAACUGAAUGGUGACAGCUGUAGGAUUCAGUAUGUUAUGGAAACUGAAUGGUGACAGCUGUAGGAUUCAGUAUGUUAUGGGAACUGAAUGGUGACAGCUGUAGGAUUCAGUAUGUUAUGGGAACUGAAUGGUGACAGCUGUAGGAUUCAGUAUGUUAUGGGAACUGAAUGGUGACAGCUGUAGGAUUCAGUAUGUUAUGGGAACUGAAUGGUGACAGCUGUAGGAUUCAGUAUGUUAUGGAAACUGAAUGGGAACUGAAUGAUUCAGUAUGUUAUGGGAACUGAAUGGUGACAGCUGUAGGAUUCAGUAUGUUAUGGGAACUGAAUGGUGACAGCUGUAGGAUUCAUUAUGUUAUGGGAACUGAAUGGUGACAGCUGUAGGAUUCAGUAUGUUAUGGGAACUGAAUGGUGACAGCUGUAGGAUUCAGUAUGUUAUGGGAACUGAAUGGUGACAGCUGUAGGAUUCAGUAUGUUAUGGAAACUGAAUGGGAACUGAAUGAUUCAGUAUGUUAUGGGAACUGAAUGGUGACAGCUGUAGGAUUCAGUAUGUUAUGGGAACUGAAUGGUGACAGCUGUAGGAUUCAUUAUGUUAUGGGAACUGAAUGGUGACAGCUGUAGGAUUCAGUAUGUUAUGGGAACUGAAUGGUGACAGCUGUAGGAUUCAGUAUGUUAUGGGAACUGAAUGGUAACAGCUGUAGGAUUCAGUAUGUUAUGGGAACUGAAUGGUGACAGCUGUAGGAUUCAGUAUGUUAUGGGAACUGAAUGGUGACAGCUGUAGGAUUCAGUAUGUUAUGGGAACUGAAUGGUAACAGCUGUAGGAUUCAGUAUGUUAUGGGAACUGAAUGGUAACAGCUGUAGGAUUCAGUAUGUUAUGGGAACUGAAUGGUGACAGCUGUAGGAUUCAGUAUGUUAUGGGAACUGAAUGGUAACAGCUGUAGGAUUCAGUAUGUUAUGGAAAC